Molecule: long non-coding RNA, 637 nt
Organism: Oreochromis niloticus (Nile tilapia)
Lineage: Eukaryota; Metazoa; Chordata; Actinopteri; Cichliformes; Cichlidae
Exons: 2
Source: RefSeq, a predicted model, not a curated record
CAGUCGCAGCUUACAGAAGCAUCUAGUUACCCACUCUGGAAUUAAGGCAUACAGCUGUGACAUCUGUGGAAAAACUUUCAGCCAGAGAGGGCACCGAAAUACACACCUACGCAUUCACACCAGACAUGAUGUGUACUGCUGUGAACAGUGUGGCAAAUACUUUGCUACAGACGCACAGUUACAACAACACAUGUUUACCCACACUGAGGAGAGACCUUAUAAAUGUGACUUGUGUGAGAAGACUUUUAAAUCUCCACAUCACCUGAGACAACACCAACAGAUCCACACCAGAAAGAGACUCUACAAGUGCAGUUACUGUGAGAAGCGGAGCGACACAGAUGGAUCCAGUUCUCAACCCUGUCAUCACUGUGAUGGUGGGAAAGACUUUCGUUGUGACCUCUGUGGAAAAACUUUCAGUCAGCAAAAGAACCUAAAAAUACAUCAACGUAAACACACUGGAGACAAACUGAAAUACUGCAAAGAAUGUGGGAGAAGCUUCACCACAUCAAGUUACUUAAAACAACAUGAACUGAUUCACAGUGGGGUUAAAAAGCACCUCUGUGAUCAGUGUGGGUCAUCCUUCACCACUGUAAGUGAGCUUAAAAGACACAAACGAGUCCACACAGGAGAGAAACCA